Amphiprion ocellaris (clown anemonefish) is the source of this 1392-nucleotide long non-coding RNA. The record is from Ensembl. Lineage: Eukaryota; Metazoa; Chordata; Actinopteri; Pomacentridae.
GGAUCUGGUAAAGUCGUUGAGAAGUUCUAUGAGUUCCUCGCGGUCCAAUAAAGAACCUGCAGGAAACUUCACCCCCAGGAUGGACCAGAAGAACACCACAGGCAGUGGGUCCGCUCUGAGGCAUUGGAUCUAUUUCCUGGCUAAUCUGAUUCCAGACCUCCUGCUGCCAGCAUCGAUAAAUCCCAGGACCCGGUCCAGCAGAGCUCCCAGGUAUCUGGACCGGUCCUGCUCUCCGUGGGUGAUCCCAGCUCCCAUUAAAGGGUUCUGGUCCAGAACCAGCAGGACGGUUCCAACACGUGUUUCCACAUGAAGCAGUAUUUGGACACCAUAUGUAGUACUUUACCAGGCCAGCAGCUGGAGGUCGACCUGGCAGGAACCCUGACAGAACAAACACCAGAGAAGAAGAGGCUGGACCUGGACCUGGAUCUGGACCCGUUUCUGGUGACGUUAAUGGAUCCGGACGUUCAGGUUUCAGGUCUUAUCUCGGAUCUGGUUGUUUUGGAGCUGAACCAGGUCCCAGAUUAAACCUGGACCAGAUCUUCUGAGGUUCUUCUAAAUGGAUCCACCUGUUCCUGAUGAGCUGCAGGUCUCUGGUUCCAUCUGAUCAGAGCUGAAAUAAACCUGGAGACAGAUGGAGGAGGAAUCAGACCUGUUCAGAGAAACACCCAGAGGUCCACCAGCUGGAGAUAAAUCAGGUCUCAGACAUCUUCAUCUGGACCACCAAGAAACGCAGAAAAACUGAAAUUCAACACAGAAAGAUCCUAAAAAAAGGUUCAAAAUCCUGCUCAAACUAAAAAAAAAAACUUCACAGACCUAGUAGAAAAAAAAACACACAGAAUCAUUUUAAAACAUGAAUUCUCUUUAAAACCUCGUUAUUUAUCCAUAAAACCUCAUUAUUUAUCUAUAAAACUUCAUUAUUUAUCUUUACAAACUCAUUAAUCCUGUAUAAAGCCUCUUUAAUUCACGCUAAAUCCUCAUUAUUAAACCUUAAAACCUCAUUAAUUCUCUAUAAAACUUCAAAAAUGUCUGUUAAUAACGGUAAAAAAGAUAAAAUAUCAAUAAAACAUCUACAAAAAACAACCUCAAAGAGACAAAAAAAACAAAAAAAAAAUCACAGACAAAAAACAAAGACUGAACGACACCAAGUGUUUCAUGCUAGUGGCACCAUUAGCUGGCUAGCUGCUAGUGGCACCAUUAGCUCGCUAGCUGCUAACGUUAGCUCAUUAAAAAUAAACUGUUUCUGUCAUCAGGAGUUUAUAGAUUCCAUCUUUUAUUUCUUUGUUGUGUCGUUUUAAUGAUCAAUAAAAAGUUUUUCUAUCCCUUUAAGGAUCCAUCAGAAGGUUCCAGAACAUUCCUCAGAUUAACUUCAUGACUUAGAAGCUUUCAGGAAAG